CCUCUCCAUCCCCAGUCAGGGAUAGGAAGGUGAUUGAAGGUGCUGUAGGCGGUCCCUCUCAGUCCAGUGAAAGACAACAUAAUGGUACAAUAUCCAGUUACUCCCACCUCAUCAGCUCACCUGGGCUCCAGCUGCAUCUCAUCUUCAAUCAAGCCAUCUUUUUUUCUUCUUCUGGGAACUCCUUCUCCAAACAUUAAAGAGACAUGGAUAAAGGAUACAGCUGAGGAGAUUUCAAAUGAGUUAUCGUCGGAAGAGUUAGAUAGGAUCAAAGGAAUGCUAGAUUUAAACUUUUUCAGUUUUAAAAUGAUAUAGCUUCACUUUUCCAAGACAAACUAAACAGAAUCUUUUCUUAUUUCUCUGUUACCUGUGAUAAGUGUGAGUCAGGUGACUGGACUUUAGGUCAUCUUUUCUGGUCUUGGCAUAAACUCAAGAGUGUCCGGAAUGAUAUUUUUUUAUUUGUACAUAUACAGUAAACAGCUAAUCUAUUGUGAUAUUACACUGUAGGCUAUCGCAAUCAUCAUCUAAGUGACAUGCAUGUAAAAAGAAAUCUCUGCAAACUGGCUAUUUGUUUUACAUUGUCAAGUCUAGUUGUUUUUUAUCUUUUGUGUUAUAAAAAAAGGAAAAUAAUACUUAAACAUGUAUUUAAAGAGAACUGUUCUCCAUUGCAAUAAAUACUCUGAACACUUCCACUAACCAUGACAGAUGUUCUGCAUAUUUAGCAAUUUUGUAAAUAUUGUCUGUGAAUUUCGUCUUGUGGUAAUAUAUGAAAAUGUCUGUUGUGUUAGUCAUGUGUCUAAUCUGAUGUUGAUAUUUCUCUAAAUGUGAUGUUACUGACAUUGCUCUAAUGAGUUUACCCAACGUGCUGUACGGAAAGCAAAUUGCACAAACCUUGUGUGGUCAUUAAUAAUAAAUGUUUGAAUGAAUGAUUGAAAAUGAUUUCUCUUGAGAUUUCUGAGCUGUUUAUCUGUCAUAAGUUAAAUGCUGAUUGUUGCUUAUUUGGUCAUGAAUAUUAAAUUCUAUAGAGUAAUUCUUAAGUUUUGAAACCAAGUUUUCAGGGGCUUUAAGUUAGCAUUAUUGUUUUCAACCAAGACAAGAAUAUGUUCCUAAC
RNAcentral lists this long non-coding RNA (1108 nucleotides) under Cottoperca gobio. Its description in RNAcentral is "lncRNA (ENSCGOG00000016528.1)". Lineage: Eukaryota; Metazoa; Chordata; Actinopteri; Perciformes; Bovichtidae. The record is from RNAcentral.